UCAGAUUGAACGCUGGCGGCAUGCCUUACACAUGCAAGUCGAACGGCAGCACGGGAGCAAUCCUGGUGGCGAGUGGCGAACGGGUGAGUAACACAUCGGAACGUGCCCAGUCGUGGGGGAUAACUACUCGAAAGAGUAGCUAAUACCGCAUACGACCUGAGGGUGAAAGCGGGGGAUCGCAAGACCUCGCGCGAUUGGAGCGGCCGAUGUCAGAUUAGCUAGUUGGUGGGGUAAAGGCCUACCAAGGCUACGAUCUGUAGUUGGUCUGAGAGGACGACCAGCCACACUGGGACUGAGACACGGCCCAGACUCCUACGGGAGGCAGCAGUGGGGAAUUUUGGACAAUGGGCGCAAGCCUGAUCCAGCAAUGCCGCGUGCAGGAAGAAGGCCUUCGGGUUGUAAACUGCUUUUGUCAGGGAAGAAAUCCUCUGGGUUAAUACCUCGGGGGGAUGACGGUACCUGAAGAAUAAGCACCGGCUAACUAC
This 485-nucleotide ribosomal RNA is filed under the name uncultured bacterium. RNAcentral's name for it is "bacterial SSU rRNA". It matches the Rfam family "Bacterial small subunit ribosomal RNA", at positions 24 to 504 of the family's 1533-position model. The record is from RNAcentral.